Molecule: ribosomal RNA, 486 nt
Filed under: uncultured Glomeromycotina
Lineage: Eukaryota; Fungi; Glomeromycota
Description: SSU rRNA
Rfam family: Eukaryotic small subunit ribosomal RNA
Source: RNAcentral
CCAAUAGCGUAUAUUAAAGUUGUUGCAGUUAAAAAGCUCGUAGUUGAAUUUCGGGGUCAGUAGGUCGGUCGUGCCACUGGUAUGAACUGGUUUUACUGAUUCCUCCCUCUUGAAGAACUAUAAUGUCAUUAAUUUGGUGUUGUAGGGAAUCAGGACUGUUACUUUGAAAAAAUUAGAGUGUUUAAGGCAGGCUUUAGCUUGAAUACAUUAGCAUGGAAUAAUGAAAUAGGACGUUUGAUCCUAUUUUGUUGGUUUCUAGGAUUGACGUAAUGAUUAAUAGGGAUAGUUGGGGGCAUUAGUAUUCAAUUGUCAGAGGUGAAAUUCUUGGAUUUAUUGAAGACUAACUACUGCGAAAGCAUUUGCCAAGGAUGUUUUCAUUAAUCAAGAACGAAAGUUAGGGGAUCGAAGACGAUCAGAUACCGUCGUAGUCUUAACCAUAAACUAUGCCGACUAGGGAUCGGAUGAUGUUAAUUUUUUAAUGACUCA